AAUUGAUAUUUUCGCCUUCUUAGAAUUUUUAUGAUCGAUUAUAUAGUUUUUACCAAUUGAUUUGAAUGCAUCGUCCAAUCAACAGUCCCGGUUGGUACCCGACCGCUUUUCAAAUCCGUAGCGCGUUUCUUUUACUGUUUUGAUCAAAAUAUUUUUUUCCCAUACACCAGCAAGUGCCUGCCUUUUAUAACUAUGGAUGACAUGUAUAAAACGCAAUUGCAGUCAAAUGUCAGUCGCUUCAAAAGAUCGCUGGAGAGAAUCGCUGAAAAGUACUCCAAGUUGCAAUACGAACACGAUGCAAUAGAAGUGGACCUGGACAAUACACGCCUAGAAAAAUUGGGGCAUUACAUGACGCUGUCAAAGAAGAAACUAGAUAAAUUGGAGUCUAUGAGCUUUGUAGACUCGAGAGAGGAGUCAUUGCAAGACCUGACAAGAGAUCCAGUGUUGGAUACCACAUGCAAAGAAAGAAGUGGCGAUUUUGAAACAACCAGUUUAUCAGAAGUGACACAAGAUGAUGCCACAAGUCAUACAGACCCACUGGAUGAAAGUCAAAGACACAACACUCUCUUAUCUGAUCAACCAGAAGAUCAGGAUGAAGAACUGGAAGUGUCUCUUCACAGUAAUGGCAGCUCUUUAGGGGAGUGCUAUGCAGACAUGGUUAGCCAAAUAGAGAAUGCCUGGCGCCAACAACAUGUCACUGAAGCAGCUGACUCUGUGCGGAGGAAGUAUUUUAAGUGGCGCAAAUCAACUCUGAUGCACCGGCGUACCAGCUCUUCCCAUGAUGUUCAGAGACACAACAAAGAGACUGGCAAAAAAGAGUUGUUCGCCAAGCAUCAUCAUAGUCUCAAAACCCCUGUGAAAAGUGUUGCCUCUACAGUGACUGAAACUGUUUCACCGUCCCCUGGUAUGAUUGUAACGGUUAAUGGCCAGAGAUCACAAUAUUACCGCUCUCCUGUGAGAAAAAGUGAGGCCCCUAUAGUUGUGAUGGAUAUGCCUGCUAUCGAAAAAGAAAAAUCUCUCAACAAGACCUUUACAGUGUCUGAACCAUCUUUAUUCUUCUCAACUUUUAACUCCAGUCCCCAAAGAUCUGGCUAUUCUCCAAACAAACCACUUCAGGAUCUCACCUUUGAGAUGAACAGCAUGUCUCCACGCCAUAUGCAAACUGCCAGCUCUGUGCUUCGCAGUACCCUGCUCAAAGACAUCUAUUCAUCUCCUGCCAGAACAAGUCCCUAUAAAGCAAAGGUGACAAGCAUGGACCGCUUCAAUGAACGGUCAGACAUUUAUGGCUCACCUAUGAGAAAAAGUAUUUUCAAACUACACACAAGCAGGGAAAGCCCAGAGCGAUCAUCUUAUGCUCCUGUGGCAAGCCCCAAAUCACCGUACAUGAAGCAACGUUUCUCCAAAGAGCUGAAGAGAACCAACUCAGCCUCUAACUUUGCUCCAUCUCCAUCUAAAUUCACAGUAUCCAAGAGGACACUUGAGUAUCCAGAUCAGCAUCUCUCCCCACAGCAGUGGUCACCUCAGUUGGCCAAACCAAGAAGACAGCACCAUAAACUUAGGCGCAAUCUUUCCUUUGAUUCCUCCACUCAGCCGCUGAGUCAUUCCUCUUACUCCUGCAAGGACGUUGACGAUGACUUCACGAGGCUGUAUCACAAAUUUGUCUGUCUGAACAAAUCCUCCUUUCUGAGUAGCAAUCCUUGUCGUCUUUGUGCCAAGAAUUCAGAGGCCAGUAGGUGGCACUCUUCCUCCAAUCUAGCUGCACUCGCAUUGUCCCCACAUCGUCCACUUCUGAGGAAGCGUCAUAGUGAUUUGCAGCGUUACCCCCUUUCUAAGCGUUUUAGAGAUGGCCAUGAGAAAAUGUAA
This 1863-nucleotide long non-coding RNA is filed under the name Neogobius melanostomus (round goby). RNAcentral's name for it is "lncRNA (ENSNMLG00000001343.1)". The record is from RNAcentral. Lineage: Eukaryota; Metazoa; Chordata; Actinopteri; Gobiiformes; Gobiidae.